UAGGGAAUAUUGCUUAAUGGGCGAAAGCCUGACCCAGCAACGCCGCGUGAAGGAAGAAGGUUUUCGGAUCGUAAACUUCUAUCCUUGGUGAAGAUAAUGACGGUAGCCAAGAAGGAAGCCCCGGCUAACUACGUGCCAGCAGCCGCGGUAAUACGUAGGGGGCAAGCGUUGUCCGGAAUGAUUGGGCGUAAAGGGCGCGUAGGCGGCCUGGUAAGUCUGGAGUGAAAGUCCUGCUUUUAAGGUGGGAAUUGCUUUGGAUACUGUCGGGCUUGAGUACAGGAGAGGUAAGUGGAAUUCCCGGUGUAGCGGUGAAAUGCGUAGAGAUCGGGAGGAACACCAGUGGCGAAGGCGACUUACUGGACUGUAACUGACGCUGAGGCGCGAAAGUGUGGGGAGCAAACA
RNAcentral lists this ribosomal RNA (402 nucleotides) under uncultured prokaryote. RNAcentral describes it as "bacterial SSU rRNA". It matches the Rfam family "Bacterial small subunit ribosomal RNA", at positions 355 to 774 of the family's 1533-position model. The record is from RNAcentral.